CCGAGUUUACAACUCCCAAACCCCUGUGAACAUACCAGCUUGUUGCCUCGGCGGAUCAGCCCGCUCCCGGUAAAACGGGACGGCCCGCCAGAGGACCCCUAAACUCUGUUUCUAUAUGUAACUUCUGAGUAAAACCAUAAAUAAAUCA
RNAcentral lists this unclassified non-coding RNA (148 nucleotides) under soil metagenome. RNAcentral's name for it is "partial internal transcribed spacer 1". The record is from RNAcentral.